RNAcentral lists this ribosomal RNA (433 nucleotides) under uncultured bacterium. RNAcentral describes it as "partial 16S ribosomal RNA". It matches the Rfam family "Bacterial small subunit ribosomal RNA", at positions 29 to 507 of the family's 1533-position model. The record is from RNAcentral.
AACGAACGCUGGCGGCAUGCCUAACACAUGCAAGUCGAACGAGACCUUCGGGUCUAGUGGCGCACGGGUGCGUAACGCGUGGUAACCUGCCCUUAGGUUCGGAAUAACUCCCCGAAAGGGGUGCUAAUACCGGAUAAUGUCUUCGGACCAAAGAUUUAUCGCCUUUGGAUGGGCCCGCGUUGGAUUAGCUAGUUGGUAGGGUAAAAGCCUACCAAGGCGACGAUCCAUAGCUGGUCUGAGAGGAUGAUCAGCCACACUGGGACUGAGACACGGACCAGAAUCGUAGGGGAGGGAGCAGUGGGGAAUAUUGGACAAUGGGCGAAAGCCUGAUCAAGCAAUGCCGCGUGAGUGAUGAAGGCCGUAGGGUUGUAAAGCUCUUUGACACGGGAUGAUAAUGACAGUACCGGGAGAAUAAGCUCCGGCUAACUCCGUG